AUACGGAGGGUGCAAGCGUUACUCGGAAUCACUGGGCGUAAAGCGCGCGCAGGCGGUCUUUUAAGUUGGAUGUGGAAGCCUACGGCUCAACCGUAGAACUGCAUCCAAAACUAUUAGACUAGAGUGUGGGAGAGGAAGAUGGAAUUAGUUGUGUAGGGGUAAAAUCCGUAGAGAUAACUAGGAAUACCAAAAGCGAAGGCAAUCUUCUGGAACACUACUGACGCUGAGGUACGAAAGCGUGGGGAGCAAACAGAAUUAGAUACCCCGGUAGUCC
Molecule: ribosomal RNA, 274 nt
Filed under: uncultured bacterium
Lineage: Bacteria
Description: partial 16S ribosomal RNA
Rfam family: Bacterial small subunit ribosomal RNA
Source: RNAcentral